This 164-nucleotide ribosomal RNA is filed under the name uncultured bacterium. Its description in RNAcentral is "partial 16S rRNA". It matches the Rfam family "Bacterial small subunit ribosomal RNA", at positions 355 to 511 of the family's 1533-position model. The record is from RNAcentral.
UAGGGAAUCUUCCACAAUGGGCGCAAGCCUGAUGGAGCAACACCGCGUGAGUGAAGAAGGGUUUUGGCUCGUAAAGCUCUGUUGUUAAAGAAGAACACGUAUGAGAGUAACUGUUCAUACGUUGACGGUAUUUAACCAGAAAGUCACGGCUAACUACGUGCCAG